UGCCUUAGUCACUGGUUGCAGCCUACCAUUGCUUACCUGUUCAAGCAAAUGAACAAGAUGUUAGUAAGUGAGGGACCCAAGACGUGAUGAACUGAUACAGAUUUUUGACUCUUCCAAGGAGCUUCAGCUGAAAAUCAAAGUCAAGUCCUCAAAUCCAGAUCCCACUUUCCAGAUGAGAUGACUGAAUGUGGUUCAAGAAAAAUAUGAAAUCAUUUGAAAGAUGAACAAAGUUUCCAUAUUGCCUUGAAUACUCACUUUAGAUGGAUGUUAAAGAAGAGUUUUUCUUUCCAUCAGUGCCUGUACUUGACCUUGUCCUGGGACACCCAGACAUGUGGGUCCUUUGUUUUCUUCCCUGCUGUUCCACAGGUCUCUCUGAAUUGAUGCUGGGAGCGAUGUCUACUGAAAUUCAAACCAAAGACUCAUAAGAUAAUACAUACAUGAGUAUUAAAUAUUUCAGAUUCUCUGGGCACUACCUUUAUGCUGAUUCUUUGAAAUGUCAGUGCAGAUUAAAUCAGUCGGCUUGUGUUCUUUUGGAAGAGAGGCGUCUGCAUGGGAGUUAGUAAUGACCUCAGCAAAAAACACCGGUUUGCUAGGUUGCAGGGAGGAAGAGAGGAAAGAUGGGUUCCUAGAAAACAUCAGGUAAGAUGUCCUGAGCCAUUCCCAAAUGUUUGGCCUAUGGGUACUGAGUGCUUGACUAUCCUACAGGAAAGGACAAAUUAUAUUUUAUAGAGUAAGCCACGGGCACAGGUUGAAAAUGAGAGGAUAUAGAAUCCUCUGUUCCCCUGAACUCCCUGAGGACUGACUGCAGAAUGCAGAAGGCAAAUCAGAGACAGACCCCAUUUUGCAAGACGUUCCACCUUUGUCAAUACAUGUUAAGGGUGUCCAUUUUGAGAAUACUCAUAUUACCUUUUCAAUUCCCUCCUGUAGAAAAAACUUAUUUUUUAGGAAAAAAGAAAGAGAAAAACUAGAGGAAAACUUAGUGGAAUCAAAGUCCAUUUGGGAAUAUGUUGCCCAGAUGCCGAGACACCAACAGAAGGACUGUGCAGAGAGAAGCAGUUUUCAUAAGCAAUUCAUGCCACA
Molecule: long non-coding RNA, 1080 nt
Organism: Corvus hawaiiensis (hawaiian crow)
Lineage: Eukaryota; Metazoa; Chordata; Aves; Passeriformes; Corvidae
Exons: 5
Source: RefSeq, a predicted model, not a curated record